This 538-nucleotide ribosomal RNA is filed under the name Fusarium sp. CPK3479. RNAcentral describes it as "eukaryotic LSU rRNA". The stretch from base 157 to 310 matches the Rfam family "5.8S ribosomal RNA". Lineage: Eukaryota; Fungi; Ascomycota; Sordariomycetes; Hypocreales; Nectriaceae. The record is from RNAcentral.
GGACAUUACCGAGUUUACAACUCCCAAACCCCUGUGAACAUACCUAUACGUUGCCUCGGCGGAUCAGCCCGCGCCCUGUAACAAGGGACGGCCCGCCCGAGGACCCUAAACUCUGUUUUUAGUGGAACUUCUGAGUAAAACAAACAAAUAAAUCAAAACUUUCAACAACGGAUCUCUUGGUUCUGGCAUCGAUGAAGAACGCAGCAAAAUGCGAUAAGUAAUGUGAAUUGCAGAAUUCAGUGAAUCAUCGAAUCUUUGAACGCACAUUGCGCCCGCCAGUAUUCUGGCGGGCAUGCCUGUUCGAGCGUCAUUUCAACCCUCAAGCUCAGCUUGGUGUUGGGACUCGCGGUAACCCGCGUUCCCCAAAUCGAUUGGCGGUCACGUCGAGCUUCCAUAGCGUAGUAAUCAUACACCUCGUUACUGGUAAUCGUCGCGGCCACGCCGUAAAACCCCAACUUCUGAAUGUUGACCUCGGAUCAGGUAGGAAUACCCGCUGAACUUAAGCAUAUCAAUAAGCGGAGGGAAAAAACCAACCAAA